Molecule: ribosomal RNA, 485 nt
Filed under: uncultured bacterium
Lineage: Bacteria
Description: bacterial SSU rRNA
Rfam family: Bacterial small subunit ribosomal RNA
Source: RNAcentral
UGGCUCAGGACGAACGCUGGCGGCGUGCCUAACACAUGCAAGUCGAACGGACUGAUCCCUUCGGGGAUGAAAGUUAGUGGCGGACGGGUGAGUAACGCGUGAGCAACCUGCCUUUCAGAGGGGAAUAACGUUUGGAAACAGACGCUAAUACCGCAUAACGCAUAGGUGUCGCAUGGCAUUUAUGCCAAAGGAGCAAUCCGCUGAAAGAUGGGCUCGCGUCCGAUUAGAUAGUUGGUGGGGUAACGGCCUACCAAGUCGACGAUCGGUAGCCGGACUGAGAGGUUGAACGGCCACAUUGGGACUGAGACACGGCCCAGACUCCUACGGGAGGCAGCAGUGGGGGAUAUUGCACAAUGGGCGCAAGCCUGAUGCAGCAACGCCGCGUGAGGGAAGACGGUUUUCGGAUUGUAAACCUCUGUCUUUGGUGACGAAGAAAUGACGGUAGCCGAGGAGGAAGCCACGGCUAACUACGUGCCAGCAGCAGC